Molecule: ribosomal RNA, 270 nt
Filed under: uncultured Micromonospora sp.
Lineage: Bacteria; Bacillati; Actinomycetota; Actinomycetes; Micromonosporales; Micromonosporaceae
Description: partial 16S ribosomal RNA
Rfam family: Bacterial small subunit ribosomal RNA
Source: RNAcentral
GGGAAGGACUCGGGGCCUAUCAGCUUGUUGGUGGGGUGAUGGCCUACCAAGGAUCCGACGGGUGGGAGCCUGCAAGGGCCACCGGCCUACUGGGACUGAAAUGGGCCCAUACUCCUAUGGGAGGCAGCCUGAGAAUAUUGGCAAUGGGAGGAAGCCUGAUGCUACGACGCCGGGGGAGGGAUGACGGCCUUCUGGUUGCAAACCUCUUUCAAAAGGACCGGCUAAAUUCGACGCCACCUGCACAAGAAUAAUCUGCCUGCUACGUGCCAG